Molecule: ribosomal RNA, 327 nt
Filed under: uncultured Flavobacteriaceae bacterium
Lineage: Bacteria; Pseudomonadati; Bacteroidota; Flavobacteriia; Flavobacteriales; Flavobacteriaceae
Description: bacterial LSU rRNA
Rfam family: Bacterial large subunit ribosomal RNA
Source: RNAcentral
AAUAAGUUAAUUAAGAGCGUAAGGUGGAUGCCUUGGCUCUCAGAGGCGAUGAAGGACGUGAUAAGCUGCGAUAAGCUACGGGGAUUGGCACACACAAUUUGAUCCGUAGAUUUCCGAAUGGGGAAACCCACUAUAUUGAAGAUAUAGUAUCCGUUAAGGAAGCAAACCCAGGGAACUGAAACAUCUAAGUACCUGGAGGAAUAGAAAACAAAAGUGAUUCCGCUAGUAGUGGCGAGCGAACGCGGAACAGCCCAAACCAAAAUUGUUUCGGCAAUUUUGGGGUUGUAGGACCACGAUAUUGAAUGUUUAAUGAAUUAGAAUUCUUUG